Regulatory RNA element from Flavobacterium sp. 316, 66 nucleotides. It matches the Rfam family "S15-Flavobacteria ribosomal protein leader". Lineage: Bacteria; Pseudomonadati; Bacteroidota; Flavobacteriia; Flavobacteriales; Flavobacteriaceae. The record is from Rfam.
UAUAUUUGCAGCCGAAUUGCUACCAUACAAUUCAUACAUAAUAAUCAUUUAAAUAAUAUUGGCAUG